Molecule: ribosomal RNA, 553 nt
Filed under: uncultured Paenisporosarcina sp.
Lineage: Bacteria; Bacillati; Bacillota; Bacilli; Caryophanales; Caryophanaceae
Description: bacterial SSU rRNA
Rfam family: Bacterial small subunit ribosomal RNA
Source: RNAcentral
UAGCGGCGGACGGGUGAGUAACACGUGGGCAACCUACCUUGUAGAUUGGGAUAACUCCGGGAAACCGGGGCUAAUACCGAAUAAACCAUUUUGCUUCAUGGCAAGAUGUUGAAAGGCGGCUUCGGCUGUCACUACUAGAUGGGCCCGCGGCGUAUUAGCUAGUUGGUAGGGUAAUGGCCUACCAAGGCGACGAUACGUAGCCGACCUGAGAGGGUGAUCGGCCACACUGGGACUGAGACACGGCCCAGACUCCUACGGGAGGCAGCAGUAGGGAAUCUUCCACAAUGGACGAAAGUCUGAUGGAGCAACGCCGCGUGAGUGAAGAAGGUUUUCGGAUCGUAAAACUCUGUUGUAAGGGAAGAACACGUACGAGAGUAACUGCUCGUACCUUGACGGUACCUUAUUAGAAAGCCACGGCUAACUACGUGCCAGCAGCCGCGGUAAUACGUAGGUGGCAAGCGUUGUCCGGAAUUAUUGGGCGUAAAGCGCGCGCAGGCGGUUCUUUAAGUCUGAUGUGAAAGCCCACGGCUCAACCGUGGAGGGUCAUUGGAAA